GAUGAACGCUAGCUACAGGCUUAACACAUGCAAGUCGAGGGGAGACGAUAUUGGAAGCUUGCUUCCGAUAGGCGUCGACCGGCGCACGGGUGAGUAACGCGUAUCCAACCUGCCCACCACUUGGGGAUAACCUUGCGAAAGUAAGACUAAUACCCAAUGAUAUCCAUAGAAGACAUCUGAAAUGGAUUAAAGAUUUAUCGGUGAUGGAUGGGGAUGCGUCUGAUUAGCUUGUUGGCGGGGUAACGGCCCACCAAGGCGACGAUCAGUAGGGGUUCUGAGAGGAAGGUCCCCCACAUUGGAACUGAGACACGGUCCAAACUCCUACGGGAGGCAGCAGUGAGGAAUAUUGGUCAAUGGGCGAGAGCCUGAACCAGCCAAGUAGCGUGCAGGAUGACGGCCCUAUGGGUUGUAAACUGCUUUUAUAAGGGAAUAAAGUGGGAGUCGUGACUCCUUUUGCAUGUACCUUAUGAAUAAGGACCGGCUAAUUCCGUGCCAGCAGCCGCCGUAA
RNAcentral lists this ribosomal RNA (508 nucleotides) under uncultured bacterium. RNAcentral describes it as "partial 16S ribosomal RNA". It matches the Rfam family "Bacterial small subunit ribosomal RNA", at positions 28 to 523 of the family's 1533-position model. The record is from RNAcentral.